This 255-nucleotide ribosomal RNA is filed under the name uncultured bacterium. RNAcentral's name for it is "partial 16S ribosomal RNA". It matches the Rfam family "Bacterial small subunit ribosomal RNA", at positions 214 to 472 of the family's 1533-position model. The record is from RNAcentral.
UGUGCUAUUGGAAUGGCCGAUAUCUGAUUAGCUAGUUGGUAGGGUAAAAGCCUACCAAGGCGACGAUCAGUAGCUGGUCUGAGAGGACGACCAGCCACACUGGAACUGAGACACGGUCCAGACUCCUACGGGAGGCAGCAGUGGGGAAUUUUGGACAAUGGGGGCAACCCUGAUCCAGCAAGGCCGCGUGAGUGAAGAAGGCCCUCGGGUUGUAAAGCUCUUGGUCAGGGAAGAAACGGUGAUCUCUAAUAUAGA